GCGGGGGUGGCGGAACAGGUAGACGCGCUAGGUUGAGGGCCUAGUGGCCUCCGGGCUGUGGGAGUUCGAGUCUCCCCCUCCGCACCA
RNAcentral lists this transfer RNA (87 nucleotides) under Thermovirga lienii. Its description in RNAcentral is "tRNA-Leu". It matches the Rfam family "tRNA". From Rfam's summary of the family: Transfer RNA (tRNA) molecules are approximately 80 nucleotides in length. Their secondary structure includes four short double-helical elements and three loops (D, anti-codon, and T loops). Lineage: Bacteria; Thermotogati; Synergistota; Synergistia; Synergistales; Thermovirgaceae. The record is from RNAcentral. RNAcentral also lists the same sequence under 1 other name.